GCAGACCCACGUCCUAAUGAAAAGUGUCACCUCGGAGGCCGUCCAGACGAAACGUCCUGUAGUCAACAACACCACACGACUCUUCCUUUAACAGAUGGCUUCUGAAUCCAGCAGAAAUGUGACAGACUUCACCACAAAAUCUCUACUUUUACUGGUCCAAUGUGUGCCUGACACCUGCGCCUUCUCACCUCAGCCACCAGAUCUGCAAAUUCCAACAUCAUAUUCAGCAAUGCCAUGUGGAACCUGUAGUUUAGAGCCUACAUCUGCCAGUACACAGAUGUAGCCCAAAACUAUUCGUAGCCAUGCCAGAUUGUGCUGCAUAGUGAUUCUUUAUUUGACAAAUAGAUUGGU
Molecule: long non-coding RNA, 351 nt
Organism: Astyanax mexicanus (Mexican tetra)
Lineage: Eukaryota; Metazoa; Chordata; Actinopteri; Characiformes; Acestrorhamphidae
Exons: 2
Source: RefSeq, a predicted model, not a curated record